GAACGCACCUUGCGCCCCUUGGUAUUCCGAGGGGCACCCCCGUUUGAGUGUCGUGAAAAUCUCAACCUUCUCGGUUUCUUCUGGACACCGGAGGAGGCUUGGACUUUGGAGGCCUUUGCUGGCUCUUUCGAGAGCCAGCUCCUCUUAAAUGAAUUAGCGGGGUCCUCUUUGCCGAUCCUCGACGUGUGAUAAGAUGUUUCCAUGUCUUGGUUUCUGGCUCUGUUGCUUUUGGGACCCGCUUCUAACCGUCUCAACCUUGCAUCGAGACAACGUUUGAGCGUGUCUCCCUUCUGGGGAAACCCUCUCAACCUCACGAACACUUGACCUCAAAUCGGGUGAGACUACCCGCUGAACUUAAG
Molecule: unclassified non-coding RNA, 359 nt
Filed under: Lactarius acerrimus
Lineage: Eukaryota; Fungi; Basidiomycota; Agaricomycetes; Russulales; Russulaceae
Description: sequence contains 5.8S rRNA gene
Source: RNAcentral